ACACACAUUUGCAGUUUGUAGAGAAAACUAAGUUAGACCCCUCAAACAAUGUAACCAUUUCUAUUCUUUUUUUUUUCGUGAAAAAACCUCCGAAUUUCUUCUGUUUUUCUCUUAAGAUUCAUGUUUUCCCAAAAGGGUCAUUUCUCAAAAUUCAUGCUGAUUAAUGUACAAGAAUGUACAAAGAAGGGAAGAAAUAGUGAAAAAUUAAAGGAGAGAGAUAAGGAAAUUUUGAUUAGAUCUUUCUUGAAGGAUAAAAGUAGAGGAAGAAGAAGAAGAUAAAUAUUUUUAGUCUUCUUUUUUUUUUUCCCCUCUCUCUCUCUUUCGGCAGCAUGGUUUAGCUUCUGCUCUGAUAUUUCUUUCUUCCUUCAUUUGCUGCUUUAUGGAGGAGAAUGGAGAUGGAUAAAAUUCGUUAGUGUUGCUUUCAGAAUGUGAAAAACGAGGAGGAGUGGCUACUUCUUGGCUUGAAGCUAGCUGUUAUCAUUGAUCAGUACUGAUCAUUUAUGAUGAUCACGGAUGAUAAUAAGACAUUCAAGAAGAGGCCUCUCAUGACUCUCAUUACAGUCACAUUGUAAUAAGUACGCUGCUUAUGUUUAAAGAGCUUCACAAUGUCCAUUCCUCCCCUUCCCCUUUUCUUUCGGUGCUCCUGACUUUUUCUGACACUUGAUGACAGAGAAAGAGAGAGGCCAGCAACGAAAAUGACAUGACUUGCAAUGAAAAAGAGAGAUAUCAGAUCAAGUGUUUUUUUUCUUGGCUGUUUGACUGUCUCAAUUUGUUAAGUGGGCUAAUAAUAACUUCAAUUGAUUCCAAUUUCUUGAAAUAUCUGCCUUUGAUUCAUCGUUUUGUGGUCUUGCUCACCAUAUAUAAGACCACAUAUAUAUGCUCCUAAAGGGGCUUCAACAAAAGAGAUAUCUUAUGAUGAAAUCGCAGUUCAAAAAGGGAAGGAAACAAAGCAGUUGUAAAUUGCAGCCAUGAUUUUCUUUUGGCAGCUCUCUUCUCAUAUUCUUGGCUAAAGAAAGCUAGCCAACAGUAAUGAAGAUCUUCCACAGUAAAGAAAAUAGCCCACAACUAGGUAAUGAUCUGCAACAAAUGAUCAUUUAUGCUUCAGUGGGCACAGAAGAAGCCAUCCAUCCAUCUCCCCCACCACCUCAAAGAAAACAACACUCACAUAGGAAGUGAAGAAGGUUAACUUGUAUGCUCUGCUGACUCCUUCGAUUGAUCUUCUUCCUCCGCCACCGACUGUCCCAAACUCCCAAUUUCCACUUCCGUCACUGCCAUUGCUGCUACCGCUAGCUGCAUCUCGAGUUUCUUCACUUCCUCCCACUUCAGCCACAGUCAUCGGUGCUACUGCUAGCUGCAUAUCCACCGCUUCCGCCAUCUCCACUUCAGCAACCUCCAAGCCGCGCAAGAAUCUGAGUGCGCAACCCACUGCCGGAGGCUGACUGACGGACGAGGAACUGGAAGGUGAUCCACAGUGCCAAGAAUCUGAGUGCACAACCUCCCAAUCUGAUUGCGCAACCUCCUUUAGCAACCACCACUUCCGCACUUCCGCCAGCUCCGCUUCAGCUCCGCAACCGCAAGUGCCAACUCGACUAGCACUUUACUUUCCCUCUUUUCUUGCACCAGGCUGACUGACGGACUCUCCAAAGUCCGAACCCAACCAGCUUCCCGGCUCAUCCCCAUCUCCGGGCUUUGUCCCCAGCUUCCCUAGAUUUUGCAGAAAUUGAAGGAUAAACAAGAGAUUGUGUUGCCUAUUUCUUGACUUUGGAGAUGUUUGAGGUUGGUUCGUAGAUCCAUUGCUGGCAUUAGGGAAGAUUACAAAGGUAACCUACUGAGACUGAAGGGAUGUGUCUUUUCAAAUAUGUGCUGAGACAAUUGCUAAAUAUAUUCCUGAUCAGUGAAGUUAUCAUAAUUUGUAUUAAUGGAUUUUUGUGGACAUUUGGAUAAUUUGUAUUAGUGGAUAAUUUUUGGAUAAUUUGUAUUAGUGGACAUUUGGACAUUUA
This is a long non-coding RNA of Coffea arabica (coffee), 2000 nucleotides long. RefSeq lists it as uncharacterized. The record is from RefSeq and is a predicted model, not a curated record. NCBI's taxonomy places the organism in Eukaryota, Viridiplantae, Streptophyta, Magnoliopsida, Gentianales, Rubiaceae.